Molecule: ribosomal RNA, 279 nt
Filed under: uncultured bacterium
Lineage: Bacteria
Description: partial 16S ribosomal RNA
Rfam family: Bacterial small subunit ribosomal RNA
Source: RNAcentral
UGCCAGCAGCCGCGGUAAUACGGAGGGGGCUAGCGUUAUUCGGAUUUAUUGGGCGUAAAGGGCGCGUAGGCGGCAAGAUAAGUCAAAGGUGAAAUCCCACGGCUCAACCGUGGAACUGCCUUUGAAACUGUCUAGCUAGAGUCCGGGAGAGGGUAGCGGAAUUCCCAGUGUAGCGGUGAAAUGCGUGGAUAUUGGGAGGAACACCAGUGGCGAAGGCGGCUACCUGGACCGGUACUGACGCUGAGGUGCGAAAGCGUGGGGAGCAAACAGGAUUAGAUA